Molecule: ribosomal RNA, 253 nt
Filed under: uncultured bacterium
Lineage: Bacteria
Description: partial 16S ribosomal RNA
Rfam family: Bacterial small subunit ribosomal RNA
Source: RNAcentral
UACGGGGGGGGCAAGCGUUGUUCGGAAUUACUGGGCGUAAAGGGCUCGUAGGCGGCCAACUAAGUCAGACGUGAAAUCCCUCGGCUUAACCGGGGAACUGCGUCUGAUACUGGAUGGCUUGAGUUCGGGAGAGGGAUGCGGAAUUCCAGGUGUAGCGGUGAAAUGCGUAGAUAUCUGGAGGAACACCGGUGGCGAAGGCGGCAUCAUGGACCGACACUGACGCUGAGGAGCGAAAGCCAGGGGAGCAAACGGG